CACAAGCCCCGGAUAUGUUUGACUUUAUCAAGUGUAGCUCAUGUCACAGUGCAUCCAAAUAUGUUGAACUUAGAAAAACUGUAGAUAUGUAGAUAAUAGAAAUUAAUGGUUUUACAAAGGACUGCUCACUAGCCCAUGGAAGUGCCAUUAAAGACUAUUCUUACAGCCUUUGGUGAAACAGCCUGAAGGAAUUUAGGAGUGAUCCAGAAUUCUGCAAAAACAAGUUUUAGCUAAGCCUUAAUUUUCUUCUCUUGAUGAACUGCCUGAACUCUCAUAGGAGUGACACUAAGUUGUAAAUACUACACGGAAACAAGCUUGUUUGAAUGCCAUUGAGUUAGUCGUCACAUCAGUCGAGUUAGCUGUGGGGUUACGCGGAGCUUUUCUUCCCGCUCUUCAACCAUCCACAUUUGAGUCCAGCAAUAAACACAUUGUGUAGACGUCUUUCUUAAGGCUCGCAGUUGAUUGUUCUGUUUCCAACUUUUUCGCUGUGUUGUUUAUUUCCACAACCAAAGACGUUGAAGCCAACCAUCUUUAAGCUCUUGGCUUAAGCUGCUCUCAUUUGUGGACGAUCAUGUGUUGCGUGUAGCUGGAUGAAAAGCCCUUUUUUCUGCUCCUGACAGUAAACAGGGCUAACAUCACAAUAAGGGGGGGGGGGGGGGGGUGACGUGCACACAAUAUUCCAUUAAGACCAAAGUCUAAGGUUUUGUGAGGACUUUGCGACUACUCUAUCCCUCAUAUAGUAAAGUACAUGUAAAUGAUCUGGUUUUGUUGACAUGAGUUGAUUAAGCUGAGUUUUGGUGCGCAUGUAAACUAAUUAUGGACCUUAUUGGCCGACACACAGGAGAUCUCCAGAGCUUUUACGACGGUGACAGUUUUCAGACACGAGAGCUCAUUUUGUAAAUAGUCUUUUUCUUCCACUUUCUUGUUUGUUUCUUUGUGUGUGUUUUUUUUUUUUUUUAAUGAUUCAUAGCCUGUCUAGAUAACACAGUGACCUGCAAGGUCUUCACAUUCAGUGCCCCAUGAAGGAAAUGUCAUGGAUGUUGUUUAUAUGUUCAGAGAAAUGAUAUUCCAUGUAUUAGCCAUCACUUUAAUACAAAAUACCGGAUUUUGAAACUAUGAAAUGACCACUUGUUACAAUUACAUGUUUAUUUAUUUUAAUUUUUAAUUGUUUUAUAAAAUUGUUAGAGGUAAUAUUAGAGAGAAGUCAUGGUGCUCCAAAAUAAAUAAGAAUCAUGAAAAUGAUCGAACUGUACGUUACAGUUAAACUGUAGAAAUACUGAGGUCAACGGUGUGCUCUACACACAAUAUUUGAAAAUCAAAAAAUCUUGUUGCACUUAUUUUUAGUCUACACCGAUUUGAAAUGCUCUUUUUGUCCAUAUAAUUUAGAUUUGAUGUCUUAUUUCAUAGCUUCAAAAUGUUUUGCUGCUAAAACAGGAUUUCCAAACAGGUGGUUUGAUGUUGCCCAAUCAGAAUUCUCCAAAUGUCCAAUAAUCCAAUAAUUUGGUUGAUACACAGUAUCCCCAUUGUUGUUUUUCAGAAUAACCUCAUGGUUUUGAUUCUAUUUUACUUUUUAAGUUGUAUUUGACUUAAAUAAAUGUUGUCUUAUGGUGACAAUUAUUUCAAUACAAAUACAAUUCAGAAUAAAAUAAAAAGUUUGUGUGAAACUCCGACAUCUUGAGAAUUUGACGAGCUCAUCUCACUCCCUGCUUGUAAACAGUUUUCUUAUUUAUACAAAAAUUCAUUUUGUACAGUUUUUUUUAAGAGAAGAUAGGUUUUGAUAUUUGGUUAUUUUGCAAAGCCACUUGGCUCCUUUUGUCUUCCUGUGCCAGAGUUGCUAAGUUUUCUGUAACUUUUUUUUAUUUUUAUUGAUUGCGAUAAGAUUUUCUUUCUGCAUUGGUUUUCUCUUUGAAUUUGUCAAUUUCCCUUUUUUUAAAUAAAAACUUGUUUCUGUGA
Gasterosteus aculeatus aculeatus (three-spined stickleback) is the source of this 1953-nucleotide long non-coding RNA. The record is from Ensembl. NCBI's taxonomy places the organism in Eukaryota, Metazoa, Chordata, Actinopteri, Perciformes, Gasterosteidae.